UAUUUCCUACGGGGCGCAGCAGUGAGGAAUAUUGGUCAAUGGGCUUACGCCUGAACCAGCCAAGUCGCGUGAGGGAAGACUGCCCUAUGGGUUGUAAACCUCUUUUGUCAGGGAGCAACGCCGGCUACGUGUAGCAGGACUGAGAGUACCUGAAGAAAAAGCAUCGGCUAACUCCGCGCCAGCAGCCGCGGUAAUACGGAGGAUGCGAGCGUUAUCCGGGUUUAUUGGGUUUAAAGGGUGCGUAGGCGGAAUGCCAAGUCAGCGUAAAAUCGCGUG
Molecule: ribosomal RNA, 276 nt
Filed under: uncultured bacterium
Lineage: Bacteria
Description: partial 16S ribosomal RNA
Rfam family: Bacterial small subunit ribosomal RNA
Source: RNAcentral